Molecule: long non-coding RNA, 311 nt
Filed under: Sorghum bicolor (sorghum)
Lineage: Eukaryota; Viridiplantae; Streptophyta; Magnoliopsida; Poales; Poaceae
Description: long non-coding RNA (SBIC_LNC018707)
Source: RNAcentral
AGGGAAUAAUAAUCAGAGACUCCCUACAAAUUUUGGUGAUUUUUGGAUAUAUAAAUAAAUUACAAAAAUUCAUAGAAGUUUCAUUUAUUAAACAAAAGAGGCAAUUUUCAUACACAUGUAAACUAUCAGAAACUAAGAUCUAACAUUUUUCUUGGGUUCUACUUAUUCCAGGGAAUCUACACAAAAAUUUCUAUGAUGUUUGGAUCAACACAAGAUUUAUUACACAAAUUCAAACAUAAAGCAGAAACUACAUAAAAAGAAAAAGAAAAACUCUGCAGCGAGCGGCCGGAAAUCGGCCCGCAGGCCGGCCC